Molecule: ribosomal RNA, 353 nt
Filed under: uncultured bacterium
Lineage: Bacteria
Description: partial 16S ribosomal RNA
Rfam family: Bacterial small subunit ribosomal RNA
Source: RNAcentral
CCUACGGGUGGCAGCAGUAGGGAAUAUUGCUCAAUGGGGGAAACCCUGAAGCAGCAACGCCGCGUGGAGGAUGAAGGUUUUCGGAUUGUAAACUCCUUUUGUUAGAGAAGAUAAUGACGGUAUCUAACGAAUAAGCACCGGCUAACUCCGUGCCAGCAGCCGCGGUAAUACGGAGGGUGCAAGCGUUACUCGGAAUCACUGGGCGUAAAGAGCGCGUAGGCGGGAUAGCAAGGCAGAUGUGAAAUCCUAUGGCUUAACCAUAGAACUGCAUUUGAAACUGUUAUUCUAGGGUAUGGGAGGGUAGGUUGGAAUUCUGGGGGUGGGGGUAAAUUCCGAGGGAAUAAGAGGAAUAA